AAGUCGUAACAAGGUUUCCGUAGGUGAACCUGCGGAAGGAUCAUUACAGAAUUUUGAGAGGGGUUGUAGCUGGCCGGAAGGCAUGUGCACGCCUCGAUCAUCAUCCAUCUCACACCUGUGCACAUACUGUAGGUCGGUUUGUGGGGUGAAGUCUUCAUUGAUUUCGCUCUGUGGGCCUUCCUAUGUUUUAUUACAAACUACUAGUUUCAAGAAUGUCUACUGCGUGUAACGCAUUUGUAUACAACUUUCAGCAACGGAUCUCUUGGCUCUC
Molecule: unclassified non-coding RNA, 271 nt
Filed under: Fomitopsis serialis
Lineage: Eukaryota; Fungi; Basidiomycota; Agaricomycetes; Polyporales; Fomitopsidaceae
Description: Antrodia serialis partial internal transcribed spacer region
Rfam family: Eukaryotic small subunit ribosomal RNA (bases 1-46)
Source: RNAcentral